AGUGAACAUUAAACGGCCGCGGUACCCUAACCGUGCAAAGGUAGCGUAAUCAUUUGUCUAUUAAUUGUAGACCUGUAUGAAAGGCAAAAUGAGGGUUUAACUGUCUCUUAUAAUUAAUCAAUUAAACUGAUCUUCUGGUAAAAAAGCCAGAAUACCCACAUAAGACCAGAAGACCCUGUGAAGCUUAAACUAAACUAUUAAACCCUAUAAUAACUACUUUCGGUUGGGGCGACCUUGGAAAAAAAAAGAACUUCCAAAUACAGUGACUGUAAACCACUUUACACCAGGCCUACAAGCCCACUCAACACAGACCCAGCACAGCUGAAAAUUGGACCAAGUUACUCCAGGGAUAACAGCGCCAUCUUCUUCAAGAGCCCAUAUCAAAAAGAAGGUUUACGACCUCGAUGUUGGAUCAGGACAUCCUAA
Molecule: ribosomal RNA, 426 nt
Filed under: Apostolepis cearensis (Gomes' burrowing snake)
Lineage: Eukaryota; Metazoa; Chordata; Lepidosauria; Squamata; Dipsadidae
Description: LSU rRNA
Rfam family: Bacterial large subunit ribosomal RNA
Source: RNAcentral